UCUAGAAAAAGAGUUGGCAACGACGUAAAUUGCAUUUGACUGUCACUGAUCACUGUCAAUGUGACUAAAUGUCACUUGUCAAAAUCAAGCUGUAGGUGCUGCUCGAAAUUCCAAAUAAAAAAUAUGUCAGGACACGCAGACCCUCCAGAGGCGACCAACCUAAAAGGUUUAUCCAAACAUUUCAACACUAUGACCCUCAGGGGACGGGCUAACGUUGCCAUCGCCACUUACACCUUCUGUGGCUUGAUGGGGAUGUACUUUUACUUGAAACCCAAGAAGAGCCCAGCAGCAUAAAGUUAUUAGUUACAAAUUUAAGGUGUAGAUCUUAGGUGGGAAAUGUUUUUUUUUUUUUUAAUAGAAGUGGUAAAAUAUAAAGGUUAUUUCUCCUAAGAAGUAAAAUUUAUAAGUAUUAUUGAAUGUGACCCAAUAAGUUGAUAGUACAUUAGUAUUUAGGUAGCACAGGAUAAGACAAAUGUUGAAAUGUUCAAUGAGUUAACAGUAUUGGCAAGAUUAUAUGAAAAACUUCUUUUAAAAGUUCUUCUCUAUGUCGCGGAAUAGUUAGAAGAUGUAAUUGUCCAAAGCGUCGGUGGUCAUGAAGUAAAAG
This is a long non-coding RNA of Anthonomus grandis grandis, 604 nucleotides long. RefSeq lists it as uncharacterized. The record is from RefSeq and is a predicted model, not a curated record. The transcript is spliced from 5 exons. NCBI's taxonomy places the organism in Eukaryota, Metazoa, Arthropoda, Insecta, Coleoptera, Curculionidae.